This 719-nucleotide long non-coding RNA is filed under the name Homo sapiens (human). RNAcentral's name for it is "HSALNT0355519". The record is from RNAcentral. Lineage: Eukaryota; Metazoa; Chordata; Mammalia; Primates; Hominidae.
ACGGGCGACUGGACACCGGCGGAGCAGGACGCAGGACCUAGCCCCGUUCGCUCCAGGCUGCAGGGGAGCCACGCUGCCCACCACGGCGUACCCAGUCCCUCCCUGAGCGGGUCUCGGCUUUCCCGCGGAGCCUAAUGGGCCUCACUGGAGUUCCGUUUCCAGACGCCUUGGACCAGGCUGCUCUGGAGGUCAGCCGCCCCCGAGGCUGAAGAGCCGGCGGCUCGGAGAAGGCUGCGCGGGAGGCCGCGCCCUCCGGGUCGCGUGGGCCGGGCGUCCGCUGUCUCUCCAGAAACACCCGCGUCCCGCGGCAACGGCCUCUUCCUAGCCCGCCUCGCCCGCUCCCCGCCCGCCCAGAGGGCCCCGCACGAGCUCCGUCCACCUCCUCCUUCCGCGCUCGGGGCCAGGACGGCGGCGGGAAACAGCUUACGGAGGCUACCGCAAGGGAGGCGAAAAGCAGCCAGCUCGCAGAGCUCCACGGACCCGGCGCGAGUCCCCAGCCACACUCCGCACUGCCCCUCUAGGCGCGGCGCCGCUGCCCGCACAAAGCUUCCCGCGAAACUGACGUCGGCGCGCGCAGGCACCGCCCCCGGCCUCGCCCCUCCCCCGCGCUCGCCCCGCUCCCCAGAGCGCCGGCGCACUCGCCCUCCUCCUAUUGGUUGUUGCGGGGCGGCGCGCGCCGGUCGGCGCCGUGCGCGCCUAGCCAUUGGCCGAGCGGCGGC